This 240-nucleotide unclassified non-coding RNA is filed under the name soil metagenome. Its description in RNAcentral is "partial contains 5.8S ribosomal RNA, internal transcribed spacer 2, and large subunit ribosomal RNA". The record is from RNAcentral.
AACAAGGCGUACCUGCGGACCUGCGGAAGGAUCAUUACAGAGUGUUUAACCCCCUAUAAAAUGGUGGGUCUAACCUCCCGUCCUUUGCUGGGUCCCCCUUCUGGAGGACUUUCAAAACUUUCUGCUUCGGCGGGGUAUACCCGCCGGAACACCCUCAAAAAAUUCUUGAUCAAAAUGGUUCGGUCCGAGAAACUUUUUGUGAAAAUUAGCGAAAAACUUUCAACAAUGGAUCUCAGAUCG